CUUCCUGAACCGACUGUGCACAAGCCAAACAGUGGAAUUCCAGAGAACGCCUGAAGGCAAACCUUCUUUGGAAAGGUGCAACUCCCCAUGUGACUGCGUCAGGAAAGUGUGCUUUUAAGAGUGCUGAGCUUGACGAGGUGACGGCAGACCUCACAGAGCAGCAGAGGCUUCACUUGGAGUAACAAAGCAGUCUCAAUCCUGCAACCAAGCUUCUGAUAAAUCACCAGGACUCUUCCACUCUGCUGAAAUCACCAUGUUACAAAAUGAGGAGCUCGAGUGUGUUGUGUGCUGCUACGAGUACUCGCGCAGCCACCGGAUCCCACGGGUCCUCCACUGCAACCACACCUUCUGCGCCCCUUGCCUGGAAAAAAUGUCCAAGCUGGAGGGCGUCAUUUACACCGUCUCCUGCCCCUUGUGCCGCUGGAUUACCUGCACCCGAGCCAGCCUCACCCUACCCGGAGCCCUGUGGGUCAACACUGAGAUCUGGGACCAGAUUGCAGAGGAGCAGAGGGCGAGGACAAAUGGAUCUGUGGAGGAUCUGAAAGACACAAAGACACCCCUCAUCACACCAACACUGCCUGUUUCAAGGCCGACUGGUUUCACAUCAACGCUCCAAAAGUUGCUCAGCUGUGUGCUGCUGCAAAGAGGGAACAUGGACGGCUGCUGACAGUUUAAUGCCACAAGAAAUUCCAGCUUCACUCACCGUUGUUGACAUGCCUAACUUGACAGACCUGAUGAAUAUGAGCAUGACUCAGGGACUAGUGUAUGAUCACGGUUCAAAGUAAAGGACUGGCUACGUUUGUGUUUUGUGAGGAGCAAAGUCCAGAACAGCUUCAUGUGAAGUUUCAAGUCCUUUUUGUGUUGAACCUGGAGGUGGUUCUACAAGGACAGCACUGACUUUAAGUAUACAAGUUCUGACUUGUGAAUCUAUGAUUUACUGCAGUGAAACUAAUGAAAAAUAUCAACAAAUCAACUUUCAGUUCAUCUUGAAGUCUUCUCAAAGUGAAAGCGGCAGUUCCUCCUUAAGGUCAGAGAUUGCAGCAUCUGAGGGCCUCUUCAAAAGAAGACGUAGUUGAUGAAGGCGUUCUGGAGCAGGACCAGAAAGACCACGACCAAGCAGCCAUGAGAUCUUAGGCAGCGUCUCCCUCGGUUCUGCCGGGCCAGCUCAGCUUCCCCUCAGAAGAAGUGCCGCCACCUGCCAGAUGAAGGAGCCUUUUG
Amphiprion ocellaris (clown anemonefish) is the source of this 1218-nucleotide long non-coding RNA. The record is from Ensembl. Lineage: Eukaryota; Metazoa; Chordata; Actinopteri; Pomacentridae.